CACCAUUUCAAAUAUUCCCGCCCUUGGCUGUGUUCUUUAUAGGCUCUCUAUACAAAUGACGUCCAUCUUGAAAUCCAUUCCUAGCAACAUCAACCUCUCGUCCGACCUCUAUUAAUUGUUCUGUUACCGAGUGAAAGACCCGUUAGAUAAGGAGCAGAAGACGCCUAUCAGCUGCGUCCGACGUGACGAUGCGAUCUCGAGACGCGAGGCUUAGAAAAAUACUGCUGUAAAUCAUGGCGGCCUUCUGAUCGAAAUAGAUUUGCGAAUAUACUUGUGUGACGUCACAGGAGACCCCCGCGUGGCAACAUGGCGACCGAGCGUCUUGCGUCUGUGUCUCUUUAAAAAUAAAACUUCCUAGGGACGUAGACCGAUCGCACGUGUCUCAGAGACAACCUGGAUCCUUUUCAUGAUCGACACUUCAAUCACUGUCUGUGCCUUGUCCAAUUCACAACGUCGCUGUGGAAGCACUUUUCCCUUUGACUAUUAAUACAAUACUUAGAGACGCUCUGUAACCUUAUUCAUUCUCAAAGGAGAGAAGCGGUUCGUCGAACCGGGAAAGUGACUAUGAAGUUUAAAGAUUUCCAGCCUUGAUAUCCUUGGGUGCUCAUGGGAGGAAAUACAAAUAAUUGCUAAUUCCUUGUUUGUUCUGCAAGGAGUAGGACUGAGGUCGAUUUUUGUGAUACGUAUUAAAGGCGGGUACACAAGUAAGUUCGUGAAUUAUUUUUGUGCUGCGGACGUAAAUGGCGUCGUGUUUUUAGUUACAGAAAAAACAGUGUGGCGCUGCUGUCGGGACGUGUAAUAGAAAGCGGAUCAUAAAAGCUGUGAUGGUGCCAGAGAAACGUUUUAUUAUUAAACAUAAUAAACGUCAUACG
Molecule: long non-coding RNA, 872 nt
Organism: Cephus cinctus (wheat stem sawfly)
Lineage: Eukaryota; Metazoa; Arthropoda; Insecta; Hymenoptera; Cephidae
Exons: 3
Source: RefSeq, a predicted model, not a curated record